RNAcentral lists this ribosomal RNA (253 nucleotides) under uncultured bacterium. RNAcentral describes it as "partial 16S ribosomal RNA". It matches the Rfam family "Bacterial small subunit ribosomal RNA", at positions 524 to 776 of the family's 1533-position model. The record is from RNAcentral.
UACGUAGGGUGCAAGCGUUAAUCGGAAUUACUGGGCGUAAAGCGUGCGCAGGCGGUUAUGUAAGACAGAUGUGAAAUGCCCGGGCUUAACCUGGGAACUGCAUCUGUGACUGCAUGGCUAGAGUGUGUCAGAGGGGGGUAGAAUUCCACGUGUAGCAGUGAAAUGCGUAGAUAUGUGGAGGAAUACCGAUGGCGAAGGCAGCCCCCUGGGAUAACACUGACGCUCAUGCACGAAAGCGUGGGGAGCAAACAGG